UACUACUCCUCCCCUAACACUCUAUAUUGGAAUGAAACAGAGAUGAUUAGCAUGGCUCCUGAUAAAGUGUGACACCCAGAUUUGUGAAGUGUUCCAAAAGAAA
Small nuclear RNA from Vombatus ursinus (common wombat), 103 nucleotides. The record is from Ensembl. NCBI's taxonomy places the organism in Eukaryota, Metazoa, Chordata, Mammalia, Diprotodontia, Vombatidae.